Molecule: ribosomal RNA, 1542 nt
Filed under: Escherichia coli
Lineage: Bacteria; Pseudomonadati; Pseudomonadota; Gammaproteobacteria; Enterobacterales; Enterobacteriaceae
Description: partial 23S ribosomal RNA
Rfam family: Bacterial large subunit ribosomal RNA
Source: RNAcentral
CUGGAGGUAUCAGAAGUGCGAAUGCUGACAUAAGUAACGAUAAAGCGGGUGAAAAGCCCGCUCGCCGGAAGACCAAGGGUUCCUGUCCAACGUUAAUCGGGGCAGGGUGAGUCGACCCCUAAGGCGAGGCCGAAAGGCGUAGUCGAUGGGAAACAGGUUAAUAUUCCUGUACUUGGUGUUACUGCGAAGGGGGGACGGAGAAGGCUAUGUUGGCCGGGCGACGGUUGUCCCGGUUUAAGCGUGUAGGCUGGUUUUCCAGGCAAAUCCGGAAAAUCAAGGCUGAGGCGUGAUGACGAGGCACUACGGUGCUGAAGCAACAAAUGCCCUGCUUCCAGGAAAAGCCUCUAAGCAUCAGGUAACAUCAAAUCGUACCCCAAACCGACACAGGUGGUCAGGUAGAGAAUACCAAGGCGCUUGAGAGAACUCGGGUGAAGGAACUAGGCAAAAUGGUGCCGUAACUUCGGGAGAAGGCACGCUGAUAUGUAGGUGAAGUCCCUCGCGGAUGGAGCUGAAAUCAGUCGAAGAUACCAGCUGGCUGCAACUGUUUAUUAAAAACACAGCACUGUGCAAACACGAAAGUGGACGUAUACGGUGUGACGCCUGCCCGGUGCCGGAAGGUUAAUUGAUGGGGUUAGCCGCAAGGCGAAGCUCUUGAUCGAAGCCCCGGUAAACGGCGGCCGUAACUAUAACGGUCCUAAGGUAGCGAAAUUCCUUGUCGGGUAAGUUCCGACCUGCACGAAUGGCGUAAUGAUGGCCAGGCUGUCUCCACCCGAGACUCAGUGAAAUUGAACUCGCUGUGAAGAUGCAGUGUACCCGCGGCAAGACGGAAAGACCCCGUGAACCUUUACUAUAGCUUGACACUGAACAUUGAGCCUUGAUGUGUAGGAUAGGUGGGAGGCUUGGAAGUGUGGACGCCAGUCUGCAUGGAGCCGACCUUGAAAUACCACCCUUUAAUGUUUGAUGUUCUAACGUUGACCCGUAAUCCGGGUUGCGGACAGUGUCUGGUGGGUAGUUUGACUGGGGCGGUCUCCUCCUAAAGAGUAACGGAGGAGCACGAAGGUUGGCUAAUCCUGGUCGGACAUCAGGAGGUUAGUGCAAUGGCAUAAGCCAGCUUGACUGCGAGCGUGACGGCGCGAGCAGGUGCGAAAGCAGGUCAUAGUGAUCCGGUGGUUCUGAAUGGAAGGGCCAUCGCUCAACGGAUAAAAGGUACUCCGGGGAUAACAGGCUGAUACCGCCCAAGAGUUCAUAUCGACGGCGGUGUUUGGCACCUCGAUGUCGGCUCAUCACAUCCUGGGGCUGAAGUAGGUCCCAAGGGUAUGGCUGUUCGCCAUUUAAAGUGGUACGCGAGCUGGGUUUAGAACGUCGUGAGACAGUUCGGUCCCUAUCUGCCGUGGGCGCUGGAGAACUGAGGGGGGCUGCUCCUAGUACGAGAGGACCGGAGUGGACGCAUCACUGGUGUUCGGGUUGUCAUGCCAAUGGCACUGCCCGGUAGCUAAAUGCGGAAGAGAUAAGUGCUGAAAGCAUCUAAGCACGAAACUUGCC